UAUGAUUUUUUUUUUUUUUUUAAGUGACAUGAUUUUCAAGUAUUCCAAUUAAUUUUAUUAAGAAUGUUUUCCCACAAUUUUUGAAUACCAUAAUGUGGAAAAAAAUCCUCAUUAAUGUAAUAUGAAGAGAAAAAUAUAUAUUAUUUAAAAUGUAAAUAAUACAUAAUUGUAAUAUGAAUGAUAUCCAUUGUAGAGUAAUCCACAUUAGAGUAAUUCAAAUUUCACCUGGGGAGAUUCUCUUCUUUUGGGUUGAAAUAUGACCCAGACAUUUUUAUUUUAGCUGUGUAACUCUUGCUUGUGUGAAAUGUGCUAUAAAUAAAAAAAAUUAUAAAUUAAAUUCAUGAUAAAAAGCAUUCAGGAUUUUAAAGAUAUAAAUAAUGUAAUGGAAAGAA
Sinocyclocheilus grahami is the source of this 392-nucleotide long non-coding RNA. RefSeq lists it as uncharacterized. Lineage: Eukaryota; Metazoa; Chordata; Actinopteri; Cypriniformes; Cyprinidae. The transcript is spliced from 3 exons. The record is from RefSeq and is a predicted model, not a curated record.